RNAcentral lists this ribosomal RNA (404 nucleotides) under uncultured bacterium. RNAcentral describes it as "partial 16S ribosomal RNA". It matches the Rfam family "Bacterial small subunit ribosomal RNA", at positions 28 to 526 of the family's 1533-position model. The record is from RNAcentral.
GACGAACGCUGGCGGCAGGCCUAACACAUGCAAGUCGAGCGAGCGGCGGACGGGUGAGUAAUGCCUGGGAAUUGCCCAGUCGAGGGGGAUAACAGUUGGAAACGACUGCUAAUACCGCUUACGAUUGGAUUGCCCCUGUGGGAUUAGCUAGUUGGUGAGGUAAUGGCUCACCAAGGCGCCGAUCCCUAGCUGGUCUGAGAGGAUGCUCAGCCAAACGGUACCGGAGACCAGGUCCAGACUCUUACGGGAGGCAGAAGUGGGGAAUAUUGCACAAUGGGGGAAACCCUGAUGCAGCCAUGCCGCGUGUGUGAAGAAGGCCUUCGGGUUGUAAAGCACUUUCAGCGAGGAGGCGUUACUCGCAGAAGAAGCAACGGCUAACUCCGUGCCAGCAGCCGCGGUAAUUC